AUGGCUCAGGACUUUACAGUCUCCAUGGUAAAUGACAGGCUUUUGGUUCUGCAACCCCAGAAGAGACCUUGGUUACCUGGAUUGAGGUUUUGGUCAGCUGUUGGCUACAGGAAGGCUUUCAGAAGUCACGAACAGCAAACUCCAGUCUGCACCUGGAAACCAAAGUGGAGAAAGAGUUCCAGAGCCUGCUUGAAUGCUUGUGUUUUGCAGAUUGCUCUUACUUUCCUCGGCCAAAGUAGAGAAGAUUAG
Molecule: long non-coding RNA, 249 nt
Filed under: Apteryx haastii (Great spotted kiwi)
Lineage: Eukaryota; Metazoa; Chordata; Aves; Apterygiformes; Apterygidae
Description: lncRNA (ENSAHAG00000013275.1)
Source: RNAcentral